This 346-nucleotide ribosomal RNA is filed under the name uncultured bacterium. RNAcentral describes it as "bacterial SSU rRNA". It matches the Rfam family "Bacterial small subunit ribosomal RNA", at positions 29 to 353 of the family's 1533-position model. The record is from RNAcentral.
AGCGAACGCUGGCGGCGUGCCUAACACAUGCAAGUCGAGCGAAGGCAUAUGUGUAGCGAUACAUGUAUGUACUUAGCGGCGGACGGGUGAGUAACACGUGGAUAAUCUGCCCCAAGGACUGGGACAACUCUGGGAAACCGGAGCUAAUACCGGAUAUGACCACGAUGUCUGAGGGCAUCGAGGUAAAAGGGUGGCCUGCAAGGGCUAUUGCCUUGGGANGAGUUCACGACCCAUCAGGUAGUUGGCGGGGUAAAGGCCCACCAAGCCAAAGACGGGUAGCUGGUCUAAGAGGAUGGUCAGCCACACGGGAACUGAGACACGGUCCCGACUCCUACGGGAGGCAGCA